This 253-nucleotide ribosomal RNA is filed under the name uncultured bacterium. Its description in RNAcentral is "partial 16S ribosomal RNA". It matches the Rfam family "Bacterial small subunit ribosomal RNA", at positions 524 to 776 of the family's 1533-position model. The record is from RNAcentral.
UACGAAGGGGGCUAGCGUUGCUCGGAAUCACUGGGCGUAAAGGGUGCGUAGGUGGCGCGGUAAGUCGGGUGUGAAAUCUCGGAGCUUAACUCCGAAAUUGCAUUCGAUACUGCCGUGCUUGAGGACUGGAGAGGAGACUGGAAUUCCUGGUGUAGCGGUGAAAUGCGCAGAUAUCAGGAGGAACACCGGUGGCGAAGGCGGGUCUCUGGGCCGAUACUGACGCUGAGGCACGAAAGCGUGGGGAGCAAACAGG